UACGGGGGGAGCAAGCGUUGUUCGGAUUUACUGGGCGUAAAGGGCGCGUAGGCGGUCGUGACAAGUCACUUGUGAAAUCUCCGGGCUUAACUCGGAACGGUCAAGUGAUACUGUCGGACUAGAGUACAGAAGGGGCAACUGGAAUUCUCGGUGUAGCGGUGAAAUGCGUAGAUAUCAGGAGGAACACCGGUGGCGAAGGCGGAUCUCUGGGCCGUAACUGACGCUGAGGAGCGAAAGCAUGGGGAGCGAACAGG
RNAcentral lists this ribosomal RNA (254 nucleotides) under uncultured bacterium. Its description in RNAcentral is "partial 16S ribosomal RNA". It matches the Rfam family "Bacterial small subunit ribosomal RNA", at positions 524 to 776 of the family's 1533-position model. The record is from RNAcentral.